RNAcentral lists this transfer RNA (65 nucleotides) under Dipodomys ordii (Ord's kangaroo rat). It matches the Rfam family "tRNA". From Rfam's summary of the family: Transfer RNA (tRNA) molecules are approximately 80 nucleotides in length. Their secondary structure includes four short double-helical elements and three loops (D, anti-codon, and T loops). Further hydrogen bonds mediate the characteristic L-shaped molecular structure. tRNAs have two regions of fundamental functional importance: the anti-codon, which is responsible for specific mRNA codon recognition, and the 3' end, to which the tRNAs corresponding amino acid is attached (by aminoacyl-tRNA synthetases). tRNAs cope with the degeneracy of the genetic code in two manners: having more than one tRNA (with a specific anti-codon) for a particular amino acid; and 'wobble' base-pairing, i.e. permitting non-standard base-pairing at the 3rd anti-codon position. Lineage: Eukaryota; Metazoa; Chordata; Mammalia; Rodentia; Heteromyidae. The record is from Rfam by way of RNAcentral.
GGUGGCUCAGUGGUAGAGUGCUUGCCUCACAUGCAAGAGGCCCGGGGUUCAAUUCCUCAGCACCA